UACGAAGGGGGCUAGCGUUGUUCGGAAUUACUGGGCGUAAAGCGUAUGCAGGCGGAUCGUUAAGUCAGGGGUGAAAUCCCAGAGCUCAACUCUGGAACUGCCUUUGAUACUGGGUAUCUUGAGUAUGGAAGAGGUAAGUGGAAUUGCGAGUGUAGAGGUGAAAUUCGUAGAUAUUCGCAGGAACACCAGUGGCGAAGGCGGCUUACUGGUCCAUAACUGACGCUGAGGUGCGAAAGCCGUGGGGAGCAAAGCAGG
RNAcentral lists this ribosomal RNA (255 nucleotides) under uncultured bacterium. RNAcentral's name for it is "partial 16S ribosomal RNA". It matches the Rfam family "Bacterial small subunit ribosomal RNA", at positions 524 to 777 of the family's 1533-position model. The record is from RNAcentral.